This 340-nucleotide ribosomal RNA is filed under the name uncultured Lentisphaerota bacterium. Its description in RNAcentral is "bacterial SSU rRNA". It matches the Rfam family "Bacterial small subunit ribosomal RNA", at positions 29 to 351 of the family's 1533-position model. Lineage: Bacteria; Pseudomonadati; Lentisphaerota. The record is from RNAcentral.
AACGAACGCUGGCGGCGUGGAUUAGGCAUGCAAGUCGAACGAGAUCCGGAGUGUAGCAAUAUAUUCCGGUGACAGUGGCGAAAGGGUGAGUAUAACGUGGGCAAUCUGCCCUCAAGUUGGGGAUAGCUCUGCGAAAGCGGAAUUAAUACCGAAUGUAGUCGUCUCGCGCAUGCGAGACUAUCUAAAGCUGGGGACCGCAAGGCCUGGCGCUUGAGGAUGAGCCCGCGCCCUAUCAGCUAGUUGGCGGGGUAACGGCCCACCAAGGCUUACGGGUAGCUGGUCUGAGAGGAUGGUCAGCCACACUGGGACUGAGACACUGCCCAGACUCCUACGGGAGCAG